This 257-nucleotide long non-coding RNA is filed under the name Mytilus galloprovincialis (Mediterranean mussel). Lineage: Eukaryota; Metazoa; Mollusca; Bivalvia; Mytilida; Mytilidae. The record is from RNAcentral.
GGUUGAUUAUACUUUUAGUUUGAAUAUGUUCUUCCGAAGAUUUGAAGGGAGAUAAGAUCAAUAUUUCUAAACAAAAAGGGGGAAGGGUUGUAGAUGAUUUGUGAUCAUCUCCCAUGGAAAUUUAUAGACAACAUAUUGUGCAUUCACAUAGAUUUUACAUGUUUUAAUUGUAACUGAUGUCCGAUUUUUUAGUAAUACAGAAGACAUUUUAUAAAAGGAAUACUCACUUGUUUUAAAUAUACUUAAUUUUGACAUUU